This 226-nucleotide ribosomal RNA is filed under the name Tambja cf. tenuilineata MP-2014. RNAcentral describes it as "partial small subunit ribosomal RNA". It matches the Rfam family "Archaeal large subunit ribosomal RNA", at positions 1920 to 2179 of the family's 2987-position model. The record is from RNAcentral. Lineage: Eukaryota; Metazoa; Mollusca; Gastropoda; Nudibranchia; Polyceridae.
AGCCUUAAGGUAAUUAUUUAAGGUCAGACCUGCCCAGUGUAAGAAGAUGUAUAAAUGGCCGCGGUACUUUGACCGUGCUAAGGUAGCGCAAUCAAUUGGUUUUUAAAUGGAGCCAGGUAUGAAUGGAGUUACGGGGUUUUUCUGUCUCCUAGCUAAUUUAUCGAAGUUACUAUGUAGGUGAAAAAGCCUAUGAAAAGAAAAAGGACGAGAAGACCCUUAGAGUUUU